Gigantopelta aegis is the source of this 633-nucleotide long non-coding RNA. RefSeq lists it as uncharacterized. The transcript has 3 exons. The record is from RefSeq and is a predicted model, not a curated record. Lineage: Eukaryota; Metazoa; Mollusca; Gastropoda; Neomphalida; Peltospiridae.
UUCUUCGUGAUGGGAUCAUCACAAAAACAAAAAACAAAAAAACACCUUUAGGUAACCUCAUCUAUAUUCGCUAGGAAAAAUAUGAGCUUUGGUAUUAAAAAAAUAAUAAUAGAAAGAAAAAAAAAAUGCGAUGCCAUACGCACUGUGUCGUCUUAAAAGACCAACGAAGGUUAAAAGCGAUAAUAUGAUUGGUCGGUUCCUGAACAGUCAUACCUGGGAUUUGAUUGGCUUAGAGAUAACAACAGGAAAAAACGCGCCAUUUGCAGUUUGCCAAAAUAAAUUUAAUAAUAAAUAAUGACAAAACAUUGUGUAUUUUGCACUAUGAAUUAGAUUUGAGAUCAUUUUGAUUGAGCAGAAACAAUCACAGUUUAUUACCGAAUACUUGGCUAUGGCGGAAAAUGAAGAACUUCGGUCAAGUUUCGGAUGUCCUACUAUUUUCGUCACGUUUGGAAGGGAAAAAAACGAAAAAUCGUCAGCGCAUUCUGGUCAUCAUAUUAUGGAAAUAUUUGUGACUGAAUCCCAUCUGAAUGUUGGAUGACAUAUAUCAAGAUGACACUGAACAGGACAUAACUGAGGAAAAUGGAUGUGAGAGAAUCCAAUCUAACAGUUGGAAAUAAAUAUAUAUAUUAUUUA